Schistosoma mattheei is the source of this 46-nucleotide non-coding RNA. The record is from Rfam. Lineage: Eukaryota; Metazoa; Platyhelminthes; Trematoda; Strigeidida; Schistosomatidae.
GCACUACUGAGGAGUCCUACAAUUGGACUAAACGGUCGUCCAGUAC